CCAGACAGCCAGGAUGUUGGCUUAGAAGCAGCCAUCAUUUAAAGAAAGCGUAAUAGCUCACUGGUCGAGUCGGCCUGCGCGGAAGAUGUAACGGGGCUAAACCAUGCACCGAAGCUGCGGCAGCGACGCUUAUGCGUUGUUGGGUAGGGGAGCGUUCUGUAAGCCUGUGAAGGUGUGCUGUGAGGCAUGCUGGAGGUAUCAGAAGUGCGAAUGCUGACAUAAGUAACGAUAAAGCGGGUGAAAAGCCCGCUCGCCGGAAGACCAAGGGUUCCUGUCCAACGUUAAUCGGGGCAGGGUGAGUCGACCCCUAAGGCGAGGCCGAAAGGCGUAGUCGAUGGGAAACAGGUUAAUAUUCCUGUACUUGGUGUUACUGCGAAGGGGGGACGGAGAAGGCUAUGUUGGCCGGGCGACGGUUGUCCCGGUUUAAGCGUGUAGGCUGGUUUUCCAGGCAAAUCCGGAAAACCAAGGCUGAGGCGUGAUGACGAGGCACUACGGUGCUGAAGCAACAAAUGCCCUGCUUCCAGGAAAAGCCUCUAAGCAUCAGGUAACAUCAAAUCGUACCCCAAACCGACACAGGUGGUCAGGUAGAGAAUACCAAGGCGCUUGAGAGAACUCGGGUGAAGGAACUAGGCAAAAUGGUGCCGUAACUUCGGGAGAAGGCACGCUGAUAUGUAGGUGAAGCGACUAGCUCGUGGAGCUGAAAUCAGUCGAAGAUACCAGCUGGCUGCAACUGUUUAUUAAAAACACAGCACUGUGCAAACACGAAAGUGGACGUAUACGGUGUGACGCCUGCCCGGUGCCGGAAGGUUAAUUGAUGGGGUUAGCGGUAACGCGAAGCUCUUGAUCGAAGCCCCGGUAAACGGCGGCCGUAACUAUAACGGUCCUAAGGUAGCGAAAUUCCUUGUCGGGUAAGUUCCGACCUGCACGAAUGGCGUAAUGAUGGCCAGGCUGUCUCCACCCGAGACUCAGUGAAAUUGAACUCGCUGUGAAGAUGCAGUGUACCCGCGGCAAGACGGAAAGACCCCGUGAACCUUUACUAUAGCUUGACACUGAACAUUGAGCCUUGAUGUGUAGGAUAGGUGGGAGGCUUUGAAGUGUGGACGCCAGUCUGCAUGGAGCCGACCUUGAAAUACCACCCUUUAAUGUUUGAUGUUCUAACGUGGGCCCCUAAUCGGGGUUGCGGACAGUGUCUGGUGGGUAGUUUGACUGGGGCGGUCUCCUCCUAAAGAGUAACGGAGGAGCACGAAGGUUGGCUAAUCCUGGUCGGACAUCAGGAGGUUAGUGCAAUGGCAUAAGCCAGC
This 1301-nucleotide ribosomal RNA is filed under the name Escherichia coli. Its description in RNAcentral is "partial 23S ribosomal RNA". It matches the Rfam family "Bacterial large subunit ribosomal RNA", at positions 1085 to 2368 of the family's 2925-position model. Lineage: Bacteria; Pseudomonadati; Pseudomonadota; Gammaproteobacteria; Enterobacterales; Enterobacteriaceae. The record is from RNAcentral.